RNAcentral lists this ribosomal RNA (1512 nucleotides) under Bacillus sp. IHB B 2253. Its description in RNAcentral is "bacterial SSU rRNA". It matches the Rfam family "Bacterial small subunit ribosomal RNA". Lineage: Bacteria; Bacillati; Bacillota; Bacilli; Caryophanales; Bacillaceae. The record is from RNAcentral.
AGAGUUUGAUCUUGGCUCAGGACGAACGCUGGCGGCGUGCCUAAUACAUGCAAGUCGAGCGGACAGAUGGGAGCUUGCUCCCUGAUGUUAGCGGCGGACGGGUGAGUAACACGUGGGUAACCUGCCUGUAAGACUGGGAUAACUCCGGGAAACCGGGGCUAAUACCGGAUGCUUGUUUGAACCGCAUGGUUCAGACAUAAAAGGUGGCUUCGGCUACCACUUACAGAUGGACCCGCGGCGCAUUAGCUAGUUGGUGAGGUAACGGCUCACCAAGGCAACGAUGCGUAGCCGACCUGAGAGGGUGAUCGGCCACACUGGGACGGAGACACGGCCCAGACUCCUACGGGAGGCAGCAGUAGGGAAUCUUCCGCAAUGGACGAAAGUCUGACGGAGCAACGCCGCGUGAGUGAUGAAGGUUUUCGGAUCGUAAAGCUCUGUUGUUAGGGAAGAACAAGUGCCGUUCAAAUAGGGCGGCACCUUGACGGUACCUAACCAGAAAGCCACGGCUAACUACGUGCCAGCAGCCGCGGUAAUACGUAGGUGGCAAGCGUUGUCCGGAAUUAUUGGGCGUAAAGGGCUCGCAGGCGGUUUCUUAAGUCUGAUGUGAAAGCCCCCGGCUCAACCGGGGAGGGUCAUUGGAAACUGGGGAACUUGAGUGCAGAAGAGGAGAGUGGAAUUCCACGUGUAGCGGUGAAAUGCGUAGAGAUGUGGAGGAACACCAGUGGCGAAGGCGACUCUCUGGUCUGUAACUGACGCUGAGGAGCGAAAGCGUGGGGAGCGAACAGGAUUAGAUACCCUGGUAGUCCACGCCGUAAACGAUGAGUGCUAAGUGUUAGGGGGUUUCCGCCCCUUAGUGCUGCAGCUAACGCAUUAAGCACUCCGCCUGGGGAGUACGGUCGCAAGACUGAAACUCAAAGGAAUUGACGGGGGCCCGCACAAGCGGUGGAGCAUGUGGUUUAAUUCGAAGCAACGCGAAGAACCUUACCAGGUCUUGACAUCCUCUGAAAUCCUAGAGAUAGGACGUCCCCUUCGGGGGCAGAGUGACAGGUGGUGCAUGGUUGUCGUCAGCUCGUGUCGUGAGAUGUUGGGUUAAGUCCCGCAACGAGCGCAACCCUUGAUCUUAGUUGCCAGCAUUCAGUUGGGCACUCUAAGGUGACUGCCGGUGACAAACCGGAGGAAGGUGGGGAUGACGUCAAAUCAUCAUGCCCCUUAUGACCUGGGCUACACACGUGCUACAAUGGACAGAACAAAGGGCAGCGAAACCGCGAGGUUAAGCCAAUCCCACAAAUCUGUUCUCAGUUCGGAUCGCAGUCUGCAACUCGACUGCGUGAAGCUGGAAUCGCUAGUAAUCGCGGAUCAGCAUGCCGCGGUGAAUACGUUCCCGGGCCUUGUACACACCGCCCGUCACACCACGAGAGUUUGUAACACCCGAAGUCGGUGAGGUAACCUUUAUGGAGCCAGCCGCCGAAGGUGGGACAGAUGAUUGGGGUGAAGUCGUAACAAGGUAUCCGU